This is a long non-coding RNA of Marmota monax (woodchuck), 6183 nucleotides long. RefSeq lists it as uncharacterized. The record is from RefSeq and is a predicted model, not a curated record. Lineage: Eukaryota; Metazoa; Chordata; Mammalia; Rodentia; Sciuridae. The transcript is spliced from 5 exons.
AUCCAAAACAAACACACACUGACAAAUCACAACUGCGCUCAGCCAUAAGGUCUGAGUCAUGAGAGCUGGUCUUCCUUUCUCUUCCCAGCACAUCUGGAUAGAAAGCUGACCAUAUUAGGUUCUGCUGACCCUAGGACAUGUGUGGUAUUGUUUAAUCAGUGGAUUUGCUUCUGGGGAAGACAAUUGAGGCAAGUCAUUUCACUGAGCCCAAGGAGGAAGUUCGAGCAACUUUGAAGCAGGCCCAGGUGUUCUGAGGGGCUACCAGCAUGGACAUACUCACAGCAACUGGGGUAUCCUGGCUGAGAGGCACACUGUGUGACCGCUCCUGCAGGGACUUAUCUGCAUCGACUUCAGAGUAAAAGACCUUGAAAAGACACAGACACCUGUAUUUCAGGAAUGGAAGCAGACCUUCAAGGAGGGAUUCCUGGCAAUGAACUCUCCACCCAGUGCCAGCACAAUUAUUGAACUGAUGGUUGUUUGAAGACCACUUAAUAUUCAUAUAAUGCAUAUGACUGAGUUUCAUCCUUACUAUAAUUUGAUAUGACAGGUGCAGGGGAACCCAUUACAACCUGCUGGAGACUGCCCACCCUCCAGUCAGCUCCUUCUCCUGUCCCUGUUCAGGACUGGAAACUGCAAGUGACAACACAGAUGCCAGAGGUCAGUGAGCAGAGAAGCUGAUGGUGGCAUGGUAAGCAGAGAAAUAGAAAAUCCACUCCUCCCCAAAUCCAGACUUGAGCGUUUCCCUGGACAAAGUCAACCAAUGACUGAAAAUGAAAUGAAUGUGUGUUUGUUUAUGUGUUUGCACAUUUACAGUCACAUUUUUCUGCCUGAUUCCACCAAAUAGUUGAAGCAACUGAGUAAUAUGGUUCUUACCCUCAAGGCAUAUGCAAUCUCAUCCAGAGAAAGACCUAUAAAUGCAGCCCUGCCAUGCAAAGAAGAAUAGUGGGAGUGCUACAAAAGCAUCAUCUGAUUUUGGAGAAAUUCAAACUAAGAUAGUAAUUAAUCUUCACUUUCUUCAUCUUUCAAAUGGGGAAAAUAAUGCCAUCUUAAAUAAUCAUAAGAAAUUGAUAAGAUAAUGGGUAUAAAGAACCUAGCAGGGUAUCUGACAUAGUAAUUAAGUGUUUCACAAAUAAUGGCUCUUCAAUACCUAGAAUUCAAAGAUCUAACUAUCUGUAGAGUAGUAAUUGCUGAAAAAUUUUAAGGAAAGGCAUGCUUUGAGGAGAUUACCAUAGCUUUGCUGGAGGGACCCUAUUUUUUGUAGAUUCCUGGCCUUCAUUGUAGGAUGGAAUGGUGGAACCCUCUAAUGUUCCCCAAAUCAAUUUCUGCACUUGGUCCCACAUGAGGGGUUACAUGUUUCUGCCAUAUGACUAAUUCUGGCCAAUGGUGAGUAGAAGUUACUGUGUCAUACAUUUAUUGGUGUGAUAUUCUCCUGUUCUUCUCUUUCCCCUACACUGGGAAUGGACAAAAUUCUAAGUUAUGAAACUUGGGUCUCUGAGUAAAGAUGCUUCAGAGCUCAGUCUUUUAUAGUCUAAUGUACAGAUAACAUAAACUAUCAGCAACUUUUAUUUCCACUCACUCAAAUUUUGUGGCUAUCUGUUAUUGCAGCAUAAGCUAGAUCAUCCUGACUAAUAUACAGGUAAGAAUAAGGAAGAUGGAAAGCAAGCUAGUUAGGAGUCGAUUGCAAUCCUGAAGUACAAAGGGUCUGAAGUAAACCUGGAAAUUGAAAAGCAAGGGAGAGAUAUAAAAGAACAGUUUUCAAGGAAGAAGAAACUACAAGUAGAAGAUAAAAGAAAAAGAAGUAAAAGCAACUCCAAGGGCUCAAACUUGAAAAACUGGAAGGAAAAUGGUCCCUCCCCCACCCCCACCCCCAAAAAAAGGGCAAAUCACAGUAAGGGUGAAGGUCAGGAAGAUGAGGGUAUAAGAAGUAAAUUUAAAGAACUUCUAUUUCCUGUCAGCAAGAGAAGACUUCCUAUUUCCCCUCCCUACUCAGGGCAAGAAUUGAGGAAUGAAACUGAGAUGAGCCACAAGGGGGUUCUCUGGGGCUACCUUCAUAACACAUGUGGGGAUCAUAAAUCCAGCUACAGGGCUUGAAUGUGGGGACCUGUCCCCAGGACCCCUGCCUUAUAGAACAGUGCCUCCUCCCACCCACAACUGCUCCAGUUGAAGAAAUAACACACAUCUGCUCUACACAACCCAGAGGAAGGUUGCUCAACAAUUUAGUUAAUUUAAUAUUGUCUAGACAACUGAAUUAUGUAACUUCAAAGGGGAAAAGAAAACAAAUGUACGUCAUUUUUUUUUUCUUAUAGCCCAAGAGUGUUUUACCAGAGAAAAUUAGCAUUUCAGCUCUCCUGAGCUUCAUUGUGGAAUUUAAAAAUACCACUUAUCUUCAAGAAUUUGUAAGAACCCUAUAUUUUCUAAACUUGUGAACAAAAUCCUCAGGAACUCAAAACUCCACUCUCAGACCUUAAAUGUGAACUAUUCAAUCAUACUAUUUGAUAUUAUAAAGUGUUAUUAAAUCAUUUGGUUUUUCUAGGUAAAGUAUAAUUGUGAAGUGAAGGCUUUCUAUCUGACCAGAAGAUGAGAAUAAUAAUAUGUAUAAUAGAUAAUAUCAAAGUAGAGACCCUUUCUUUUCCAUAGAUGUGUUUUUUUUUCCAUUUUCAAGUUUUGAAACUAUCUUUCUUUUAUAACCCCAAAGUUACAGCUAUUUUACUAAUUAUAUUGAAAGUGCUAGAAGAUGUCAAGAAAAUUGGGUAAUACAAUAAAACAGCCUUACCACAUAUUUAAGCCCUUUUAUCUUUAACAGUUUUGUGAAAUCUGCAGACCAUCUAACCUGCUCAGUGAAUUUUCAUUUAUAUUAAACUACAUUAAUAAAGAUCUAUAAUAAGAAAUUAUACUGAAAAAGCAAUUCAUAAUGUACCUUUCAGCUUUAUAAUUAGUUCUAUAAUCUGUAAUCAGAUGAUUUAAAUCUAAUAUAGUUAAAUUACAAAAUAGGCAAUUUCUGUUUCUGAGAAGAACCAUUAUAUCUUUGGAAUUUUCCAAAGCAUUAAUAACUUUGGAGCAAUUAUUAUAUUUCUUAUUCACUUUAUUCCCAGAAAUUAGCAGAAUACCUAGCAUAUGGUACUUGCUAAAUAAACAAAUGUUGAAUGAAUAAAUGAAUAUGUAAACAUGAAUAAGUGAUUAGCAAAAUCACAGUAAUUUGUCAUAGCCCCCAUUCAGCACCUGAAUGGUAUCCACUUCCAUGUCUCAACUCAGAGCACAGAUUCAUUUCCUUCUGAUUGGUUUGGUGUCCAUUUUGACUAAAUGGUACCUUUGCCUUAUCAGUCAUUAAGAAUAAGCAUGCCUGCCUCCAGAUAAUGUCACAAAUACCACUGAUCUAAGUAAGAGUCAAGAGAUGUAGGGUCUGGUCCUCCUGCCAACCCUGUUAACAUUUCUGAAUUUGUUUGCAUGUAUACUUUUUUUUUUUUGAACUGAUUUUUUUUAUGUUUUGAACUGAUUGCAAACUAGGUUCCAUUCAGACACAUAAUAGGUAUUAUAAGACUUAACUCAUAAAACUUCAAAAGGUAUAUGAUUUAUCCCCCAUUUUACAUAUGGAAAAAGAAAAUCAAGACUCAGAAAGAUCAAGGAACAUGACCAAGAUGGCAAGUCUAAGAGGUAAGGUUGUAAAAUAGGCCUAUCUAACUCCAAAUCUGUUACCUAGGACUAUUAAUACUAGUAGCAAUAGUGACAACAAAGAGAAAGAGUUUUCUAAAGUCUUAAGCAUUAUAAAACUACAAUCUAUCAUUAUCAUCUUCAUCAUCAUCAUCAUCAUCUGUCAAUCUCUUGUAUUUCUAUCAUUGUCCUCAUAGGCAUAUCUUGUCUGAAUCUGAUGGAUAUCAUUUAACUAGUCAUUGAGUCCCUGACUUGACCAGAGCUCUAUAAUGGGCUCUGACCAGGUUUGCCUUAUUCAAACCCCUUCUUGGUCCCUUUAGAUUAGACAAGACUGUCUGAGCAGGUUCACACGUUGUCAUCAUUUCAUAAGUACAGAGUCACCAUUUAGGAGACAUGUCUGCUCACACUUUUAUAAUCUGUGUGAAAUGCAAGAUGUUGCUUGUGGUAAAGUACUCCCAAUUCAGAAACUCAAGGCAAUGGUAUUGUUUUCUUCCGGGAAUAUAUCCUUAAGUCAUAAGUAUGCUGAUGUUUCAGGGUAACAUGUUGAGGAUUAUGGAGGCUUGGUAAAUGCCCACUCUGGACUUCCAAUGCCCUGGAAGGACCUCACUUUCAGCUGAAAAUAUUCCAUGGCUGUCAAGAAAGCUGAGCCCACAUUAUAUCCCCCAGGCUGAUACCUCCUGAAAUGAUUUGAUGAGAACCUACCAUUUGUGCUGAUUAGAGAAAACUGUAAAAUGUGAAAGAUGUGAGUGUCAGAGUAUCCAUCUGGACCAUGUCUUCAACCCUCCCUCUUCAGAGCAACUUCAGGUCUGCAGAAGCAGAAAGGAGAUGUGGCUAGGAAGGGCACCACCUGUCCUGUCUUGGUUCAAAGCCCACCCCUGUGACUCGUAACCUCUUUAUGCCUCAGUCUCUUCAAGAUGGUCAUGGAAAAUAUCUGAUUCAAACGUAUGAUAAAAGGAAUAAAAGUGUUAUUAUAUUUAAGUGUUUUAAAUACACUUGUCAUGUAAUAAAGCUAUGUAAAUGUUGAAUUCUUUUAAAAAAUCCUGAGUUUACUGAUCACUGUAAUUUUUUCAUGUGUAUUCCAUUAAAGAAGAUGCAGGCUUUAGGGAGGGUUGGAGACUUGCUUUCUGAAGAGGGCUUCCUCGACUGGAACUCUACCCAGACAAAAUUAGUUGACAAUUUCAUUAGGACUUGGCAGAAGCUUAUGUACAUCCUACUCUGGAGAGAUUACCUGAGCAAAACAUGAGUGUGAACAGGAGGCAGGACAUUUAUUUUCAACAAACCAAAUCAAACCUAAACAGUUUCGGAAAUCACUGUGGGCAAAAGAAAGUCUCCUUUAGUUGCUUUCUGAAUGAACCAAUAACCUUCAUUUCCUGAUACUGGCACUGAUGAUGGCCAAUGUGCCCAGAAGGCUUGGGAUGGCUGAGGUACACACUCUGGAUGGCCCAUGCAUUGGCUCUCACCCUCAGUUCCACCUGCAGAUACAUGGGGUAAAAACUCAGGGUCACCCCUAUUAUUCCUAAUUGUUGUUGGAAACAGAUGACCUUCUCUUUUGUAAAUAGAUUCAAUAAAAGUACAACAAUAAAAAACUAAGGUGACUGCUUUAGAAUAACUCCAUAAAAGUGAUUACUAAAAACAAUUACUGCAAUUCUAAAAGAAGCCCAAGACACUUAGAUCAUGAACUAUGGCUGCAAUUUAUGCCUAAACUCCUACUUGUGGGAAGAAGAAGAGAAGAGGAAGAUGAGGAGGAGGAGGAGGAGGAGGAGGAGAAAUUUGCCCUACACCUAAACAUUACCAAAUACAUCUCCCAUUGUCAUUUUUACCUGAAAAUAAAAUGUAAUAGAAUCGUGGAAAUCAUCUGUGGAACUUACUUUCUCAAUUAACUAACAAAUGAAACUAGGACUGGAUAAGAGAGCUUUUAUUUUAAUUAUAUGAAAAUAAUUACUCUUGAUAACAAUAAAUUCCUGUUUUUCUUUAUAACUAAGCUAUUGUUGUUACCUUAAGAUAUGAGCAUAAUAGGGGUUCUAGGACAUGGAUCAAGCCUAUAAGACUUUCUAUAUGUAUUGUGGAUAUAGUCAGUCAUUGUGUAUUAGUCAUUGCAGUGCUUAGUGGGUGAUGUUAUGUUCUCAGGAUUAUUUACAAUUACAACAACAAGCUAACUCUCCUAGACUUGGUUUACUGUUCAUCACACAUUUAAUCAUUACAACCAGUCUUCAUUGGUGUUUAGGAAUUGGAUCAGGCUGUUUGCCAGGAAACACAAGGGUUUCAACAGGAAAGAGGAUAUUAAUGAUGUCAUUGACCAAUGAGACUACUGAGGGAGCAAACAAAAGGAAACAGCAGCUAUCUGACAGCUCAGAACUAAUAGAGUUCCAGCACUUUAAAUCAGAAGUCAUUAAACUACAGCUCAUGGUCUAACUUUGGCCCUUGCCUUGUUUUUGUAAAUAAAGUUUUAUUAAAACAUAACAUACAUGUUUAUUUACAUAUUACCUAUGGCUGCUUUUGCUCUACAAUGGCAGAGAUGAGUAGCUAUGACUGAGA